GAGUUUGAACCUGGCUCAGGAUGAACGCUGGCGGCGUGCCUAAUACAUGCAAGUCGAGCGAACAGAUGAGAAGCUUGCUUCUCUGAUGUUAGCGGCGGACGGGUGAGUAACACGUGGGUAACCUACCUAUAAGACUGGGAUAACUCCGGGAAACCGGGGCUAAUACCGGAUAAUAUAUUGAACCGCAUGGUUCAAUGUUGAAAGACGGUUUCGGCUGUCACUUAUAGAUGGACCCGCGCCGUAUUAGCUAGUUGGUAAGGUAACGGCUUACCAAGGCAACGAUACGUAGCCGACCUGAGAGGGUGAUCGGCCACACUGGAACUGAGACACGGUCCAGACUCCUACGGGAGGCAGCAGUAGGGAAUCUUCCGCAAUGGGCGAAAGCCUGACGGAGCAACGCCGCGUGAGUGAUGAAGGUCUUAGGAUCGUAAAACUCUGUUGUUAGGGAAGAACAAAUUUGUUAGUAACUGAACAAGUCUUGAC
This 483-nucleotide ribosomal RNA is filed under the name uncultured bacterium. RNAcentral's name for it is "bacterial SSU rRNA". It matches the Rfam family "Bacterial small subunit ribosomal RNA", at positions 9 to 473 of the family's 1533-position model. The record is from RNAcentral.